Molecule: ribosomal RNA, 229 nt
Filed under: uncultured bacterium
Lineage: Bacteria
Description: partial 16S ribosomal RNA
Rfam family: Bacterial small subunit ribosomal RNA
Source: RNAcentral
UGCGCAGGCGGGCUUGUAAGUCAGUGGUGAAAUACUGCCGCUUAACGGUAGAACUGCCAUUGAUACUGCAAGUCUUGAAUAUGGUUGAGGUAGGCGGAAUGUGUCGUGUAGCGGUGAAAUGCAUAGAUAUGACACAGAACGCCAAUUGCGAAGGCAGCUUACUAAGCCAUUAUUAACGCUGAGGCACGAAAGCGUGGGGAGCGAACAGGAUUAGAUACCCUGGUAGUCC